This 73-nucleotide transfer RNA is filed under the name Helianthus annuus (common sunflower). RNAcentral describes it as "tRNA-Leu". The record is from RNAcentral. Lineage: Eukaryota; Viridiplantae; Streptophyta; Magnoliopsida; Asterales; Asteraceae.
GAAAGGGUAGUCUAGUGGGUUGUGGUUGUUGUUAAGAACAAGAGGUCGCGGGUUCCAAACCCGGCCUCUUAUA